RNAcentral lists this transfer RNA (73 nucleotides) under Klebsiella pneumoniae. Its description in RNAcentral is "tRNA-Ala". It matches the Rfam family "tRNA". Rfam says of the family: Transfer RNA (tRNA) molecules are approximately 80 nucleotides in length. Lineage: Bacteria; Pseudomonadati; Pseudomonadota; Gammaproteobacteria; Enterobacterales; Enterobacteriaceae. The record is from RNAcentral.
GGGGCUAUAGCUCAGCUGGGAGAGCGCUUGCAUGGCAUGCAAGAGGUCAGCGGUUCGAUCCCGCUUAGCUCUG